GGAGGAGGCUAGCGUUGUUCGGAAUUACUGGGCGUAAAGCGCGCGCAGGCGGCUUUGCAAGUCAGGGGUGAAAGCCCGGGGCUCAACCUCGGAACUGCCUUUGAGACUGCAAGGCUCGAGACCGGGAGAGGAGAGUGGAAUUCCCAGUGUAGAGGUGAAAUUCGUAGAUAUUGGGAAGAACACCGGUGGCGAAGGCGGCUCUCUGGCCCGGACCUGACGCUGAGGCGCGAAAGCGUGGGGAGCAAACAGGAUUAGAUACCCUGGUAGUCCACGCUGUAAACGAUGAGUGCUAGACGUUGGGGGGCUUGCCCCUCGGUGUCGCAGCUAACGCUUUAAGCACUCCGCCUGGGGAGUACGGCCGCAAGGUUAAA
Molecule: ribosomal RNA, 371 nt
Filed under: uncultured bacterium
Lineage: Bacteria
Description: bacterial SSU rRNA
Rfam family: Bacterial small subunit ribosomal RNA
Source: RNAcentral